GUGGGGAAUAUUGGACAAUGGGGGGAACCCUGAUCCAGCGACGCCGCGUGAGUGAAGAAGUAUUUCGGUAUGUAAAGCUCUAUCAGCAGGGAAGAUAAUGACAGUACCUGACCAAGAAGCACCGGCUAAAUACGUGCCAGCAGCCGCGGUAAUACGUAUGGUGCAAGCGUUAUCCGGAUUUACUGGGUGUAAAGGGAGCGUAGGCGGUCUGCCAAGUCUGAUGUGAAAACCCGGGGCUCAACCCCGGGAGUGCAUUGGAAACUGGCGGACUGGAGUGUCGGAGAGGUAAGCGGAAUUCCUAGUGUAGCGGUGAAAUGCGUAGAUAUUAGGAGGAACACCAGUGGCGAAGGCGGCUUACUGGACGAUAACUGACGCUGAGGCUCGAAAGCGUGGGGAGCAAACAGGA
Molecule: ribosomal RNA, 406 nt
Filed under: uncultured bacterium
Lineage: Bacteria
Description: bacterial SSU rRNA
Rfam family: Bacterial small subunit ribosomal RNA
Source: RNAcentral